Long non-coding RNA from Etheostoma cragini (Arkansas darter), 559 nucleotides. RefSeq lists it as uncharacterized. The record is from RefSeq and is a predicted model, not a curated record. The transcript has 2 exons. Lineage: Eukaryota; Metazoa; Chordata; Actinopteri; Perciformes; Percidae.
GAGAUCUACAGUUGAAGACUGGUUUAACUGGACAGCUUUCACACGUGAGAAUAUAAAUGUAUGUGAAAAAGAAAGAUGCUGAAAAUAAACUCGGAAAACUGCUCUGGAUGCAUAAAAGUUAAAACAUGACUAAGUAAUAUAUUAUUAACAGCUUACCUCUUUUCAGCAGAGGGUUGCUCUCCUUUAAAGUCAAUGAGCCAAUACUUUGACCCAUCGCUCUUGAAGGACACACAGCUGGGUUCAGGUUCUGGUUCAGGAUCAGGACACUCUGGUCUCUGCUGGGUCCUGAUAGAAAAACACAUUUAUUAAGGGUCACAUGUUCAGGUAAAGUCUCCCAGUAUAUCAUGUGCUAUUAAUAUGAAUAUAUGUGAGACUAAUUAUUAACAAUAACAUGGCAAUAAUGCUUUACUUUCUGUCCAAAACCUAAUUAAAAUAUCUUUUGAAAUCAGAAUAAAAAGAAAAUAAAUUUAAAAAAUGUUGUUUAAACAAAGAUAUUUUGAGAGAGAUGGGAAAUUAUUUUGCAAAACUAUUCUCAUUUCAGUCAUUAACUGCAAUAAUU